Molecule: long non-coding RNA, 536 nt
Organism: Setaria italica (foxtail millet)
Lineage: Eukaryota; Viridiplantae; Streptophyta; Magnoliopsida; Poales; Poaceae
Exons: 3
Source: RefSeq, a predicted model, not a curated record
AGCGCCGGUUAUAUCUUCACAGCAAUCUUUCAAAGAUUGGCCAACACAUCUUGGAUUGCCUUGUAAGCUCGUCCAUUUCAAACUCGCAACUACUAGACUUCAGAUCGUCGUCAGAUGGACAGCAACAGGAACCGCUCGCAGCCUCCUCCGGGCUACCCGAGGAUGGACGACGCGGAGCAGCAGGGCGGCGGCAAGAAGAAGAAGGGGUGCUGCGGCGGAUCGUCGCGGCGCCGCGCGACGUCGGGAAAGCGUGGCGAGGCGAGCUUCAUCGAGGGAUGCAUCGCCGCGCUCUGCUGCUGCUGGCUCUGCGAGCUCUGCUGCGAUUAGCUUGCUGCUCCAAGAACCAAGCUAAGGUGGCGGACUUGUUGUGUGCCAACGCGGAGGCUGGUGUAAUACGUCGUAAACCUUUUAUUAUUUGCUUGUGUGUGUAAGUGUGUGCUCCUCAGCUGGUGUCGUGAUGGAUGUCAAUCGUGGGAAUUAAAACAAAAAUCUAUGAAUACAGAGUACGCAUUGUGUUUAUGUUUUACACAUAUGAA